UUUUUAAGCGCCAGAACUGGUGAAUGUACUUGCAGUAACAGAUUGCCAGUUGACGAGGAGGAGGUUUAUCGAACGUUCGGCGGAUACCUCCCGGCUGCGGCACACAGUCGAAUUUUCUUUCGUAAAUCAUGCGAGGCGACUCGAUGGACAAAGGAAAGGAA
RNAcentral lists this non-coding RNA (161 nucleotides) under uncultured Siminovitchia sp. RNAcentral's name for it is "glmS glucosamine-6-phosphate activated ribozyme". It matches the Rfam family "glmS glucosamine-6-phosphate activated ribozyme aptamer". From Rfam's summary of the family: This entry contains a glucosamine-6-phosphate activated ribozyme that is found in the mRNA for GlmS. GlmS is an enzyme that uses fructose-6-phosphate and glutamine to generate glucosamine-6-phosphate. The ribozyme catalyses self cleavage of the glmS mRNA that is thought to regulate GlmS activity. The record is from RNAcentral. Lineage: Bacteria; Bacillati; Bacillota; Bacilli; Caryophanales; Bacillaceae.